GAGCUCCUAUAGGAAACAACAUUAAAAUUUAACAUAGAAAUUCACUUAAUAAUAUAUAAUUUUUAACUUCAGCAGGCGGCAGUAAACAAUUUUACGACCUUUGAGUUGAAUUAGGAAUUUUCAUCAUUCUCAUUCAGCGCUUCAAUUGCAAAACACAAAACUUUUAAGAAAUUUAUAACAAAUUCUUCAUUCCUCAAAAGACGUUAGUUUAAAAAAUUUCGAAUUCUAAACACAAAUUAUUUGAUUUUCGAUUUAUUUCUUAACGCAUUCGUUUCUAAGAGCUCACACAAACAAUAACGACGCUUAGCAAGGAAAAUAAUAAAAUUUCAUAAUGGGUGAUGCACCAGCUACUCCGGCACCAGCGGCACCUGCACCAGCAACAACCACUUCUGGAGCGGAUAUGUUCGAGAGCAACGCUUGGCUAACUGCCGGCGCUGUUAUGAUGUACUCCACUUGGGCUAUGUGGGUCAAGCUGCGAAAUUUGAAAUUUGCGUCGAAGACUGACAAUGAAUCGAUCGAAGAUGAAUCGACCAAAAAUGAAUCGAUAGAGUUGUGCCUUGAGGGUCAAGCUACGCAAGAUGACGAGCGUCGAAAAAAGUUAAUUGAAACAAGUGGACGGGGAUAGAGACACACGCGCAUUGUAUUUAGAAGACACGGAAGACACUUUGAGGCGUUGAAAUGCUUGCGAUUUUAGGGGGGUCGCAAGUAACUUUUUACGCUUUACAUUCAUAACCACUCGCACAUUAAUACACACAUACACUUUCACUUACACCAAACAAUUUGCUGUUGCCUAAUUGUCGUUUGUGCUACUAUGACAAGUGGGGUGCAAGAAAAUAAACUGCCAAAAUUAAAAACUGUAGAAGCAA
Molecule: unclassified non-coding RNA, 866 nt
Filed under: Drosophila virilis
Lineage: Eukaryota; Metazoa; Arthropoda; Insecta; Diptera; Drosophilidae
Description: GJ25760
Source: RNAcentral